GAUGAACGCUAGCUACAGGCUUAACACAUGCAAGUCGAGGGGAAACGGCAUCGAAAGCUUGCUUUUGAUGGGCGUCGACCGGCGCACGGGUGAGUAACGCGUAUCCAACCUGCCCAUCACUUGGGAAUAACCUUGCGAAAGUAAGACUAAUGCCCAAUGACAUCCCACGAAGGCAUCCGAAUGGGAUUAAAGAUUUAUCGGUGAUGGAUGGGGAUGCGUCUGAUUAGCUUGUUGGCGGGGUGACGGCCCACCAAGGCAACGAUCAGUAGGGGUUCUGAGAGGAAGGUCCCCCACAUUGGAACUGAGACACGGUCCAAACUCCUACGGGAGGCAGCAGUGAGGAAUAUUGGUCAAUGGGCGAGAGCCUGAACCAGCCAAGUAGCGUGCAGGAUGACGGCCCUAUGGGUUGUAAACUGCUUUUAUAAGGGAAUAAAGUGGGUCACGUGUGACUUCUUGCAUGUACCUUAUGAAUAAGGACCGGCUAAUUCCGUG
RNAcentral lists this ribosomal RNA (492 nucleotides) under uncultured bacterium. RNAcentral describes it as "partial 16S ribosomal RNA". It matches the Rfam family "Bacterial small subunit ribosomal RNA", at positions 28 to 507 of the family's 1533-position model. The record is from RNAcentral.